CUCCCUGGUACCAUACCCCAGCCGAUGAGUAUGUACCCCCAGAAGUACUUCCGCUCGGAGAAGAAGGAGACGGCAAGCAGGGUGUACAGGAAGGCCCAGAACCAGCCUGAUGUCAGGAUCAGAACAAAAGAGGAGGACUGCAUAUGUAUGGACCCACUCCAGAUGGCACGGGGACGGGGGGGAGUAGGAAAAGUGGCAUGGUGAGCAGAGCCCUGGCUAUGCAGGUGGCAGAUGACUGAUUAGAAAACCAGCUCAAGGUCAUGUUGCUGCUCUCUCAUUCCUGUUGAGGGCUCUCUGGUGGAGCCUGUCUCACAGGCCACCUGCAGGCCAACACUCCCAGAAGCAGCUAGCACCAUGGUUGACCUCGUCCA
This 371-nucleotide non-coding RNA is filed under the name Pongo abelii (Sumatran orangutan). The record is from RNAcentral. Lineage: Eukaryota; Metazoa; Chordata; Mammalia; Primates; Hominidae.